This 718-nucleotide ribosomal RNA is filed under the name uncultured bacterium. RNAcentral describes it as "bacterial SSU rRNA". It matches the Rfam family "Bacterial small subunit ribosomal RNA", at positions 8 to 771 of the family's 1533-position model. The record is from RNAcentral.
AGAGUUUGAUCCUGGCUCAGAACGAACGCUGGCGGCAGGCUUAAUACAUGCAAGUCGAACGGCUGUAGCAAUACAGCAGUGGCAGACGGGUGAGUAACACGUGGGAACCUACCUAGGGGUACGGAAUAACUCAGGGAAACUUGUGCUAAUACCGUAUACGACCUCAGGGUGAAAGAUUUAUCGCCCCUAGAUGGGCCCGCGCUGGAUUAGCUAGUUGGUGGGGUAAAAGCCUACCAAGGCGACGAUCCAUAGCUGGUCUGAGAGGAUGAUCAGCCACACUGGGACUGAGACACGGCCCAGACUCCUACGGGAGGCAGCAGUAGGGAAUCUUGGACAAUGGGCGAAAGCCUGAUCCAGCCAUGCCGCGUGAGUGAUGAAGGCCUUAGGGUUGUAAAGCUCUUUCGCCAGGGAAGAUAAUGACGGUACCUGGAUAAGAAGCCCCGGCUAACUUCGUGCCAGCAGCCGCGGUAAUACGAAGGGGGCUAGCGUUGUUCGGAAUUACUGGGCGUAAAGCGCACGUAGGCGGCAUUCCAAGUUGGAGGUGAAAUCCCCGGGCUUAACCUGGGAACUGCCUCCAAAACUGGAAAGCUCGAGUCCGAGAGAGGUGAGUGGAAUUCCAGUGUAGAGGUGAAAUUCGUAGAUAUUGGAAAGAACACCAGUGGCGAAGGCGGCUCACUGGCUCGGUACUGACGCUGAGGUGCGACAGCGUGGGGAGCAA